GAAAAAGUAUGCAAGAACUGCUAACUCUAUGCUCCCAUGCCUGACAACAUGGCUUUUUCA
This 60-nucleotide transfer RNA is filed under the name Budorcas taxicolor taxicolor (Mishmi takin). RNAcentral's name for it is "tRNA-Ser". Lineage: Eukaryota; Metazoa; Chordata; Mammalia; Artiodactyla; Bovidae. The record is from RNAcentral.